Molecule: small RNA, 533 nt
Filed under: Histoplasma capsulatum
Lineage: Eukaryota; Fungi; Ascomycota; Eurotiomycetes; Onygenales; Ajellomycetaceae
Also listed under: 1 other name
Description: hypothetical RNA
Source: RNAcentral
ACAAAGGGCUGGUUAAUUUAUAGCAGGACCUCAUGCCCUGCUCCAUAACUGAAUUCCCAACGGCGAAACCAAGGACCUUACUACAUGUUUUCACGUUCCUGUGGACAGAUGAAUGGCCAUGAUCUGAAAAAUUUACAUGCCUUAGGGGAAGGUAAUAGCAGAGAAAUGGUGUCUCCCGUGACAAUUAUAUGUAGGUUAGAACUUCUUGGUUAUUAUGCUUGGUAUCAAGAGUGAGAUUUUUCACCCUUUUUGAUAAAUCCGGGGCAGGAAUAUAUAUACCUUCAAGACAGUUGUCAUGCGAUCGCCUCUGGACAAACCCAAAAAUGGAUAUUAUCCUGGUGAACGAAAUGUCGUCACAGUAGAUUUCGCAAGCAGGAAGGGAAAAGCAUUCAGCAAGAUUGAUACCCGCUCACUGUGAAAUUAUUAUCCUAUCCUAUAUCACAUCAUAGAUGACAUAUUUCUCUUCCAGGCGUAUCGAGACCGACUCUACUUUCAAUACUAAAAAGAAAUUCUCCCCUCGCUAGACCUCGAAC